RNAcentral lists this ribosomal RNA (171 nucleotides) under Triticum aestivum (bread wheat). Its description in RNAcentral is "partial small subunit ribosomal RNA". The record is from RNAcentral. Lineage: Eukaryota; Viridiplantae; Streptophyta; Magnoliopsida; Poales; Poaceae.
AUGACUGGACGAAACCAAGAAAUAACCCCUUAUGUGCGAAAUUAUAGAAGAUCCCCUUUAAGAUCAAACAAUUCCAUCGAAUUGAGUAUGACUGUAUGUGUGAUAGCAUCUACUAUACCAGGAAUAUCAAUGAACCCCAUUCUUGCAAUUGCUCAGGAUACCCUCUUUUAG